RNAcentral lists this long non-coding RNA (167 nucleotides) under Chinchilla lanigera (long-tailed chinchilla). RNAcentral describes it as "lncRNA (ENSCLAG00000026880.1)". Lineage: Eukaryota; Metazoa; Chordata; Mammalia; Rodentia; Chinchillidae. The record is from RNAcentral.
GAUGAGCCUUUGAACUACCUUGCACCCUACCUUUUUGGCCAAAGCCCCUGGGCCCAGAUACCCUCAAGAAUCUACUGAAUUUUCUGGACCUUCUGCUAUUGGCAAUUGAGAGCACAGUCACACCAAGGAAUGGUCAGGUCAGGCAGCUGCACCUGUGGACACUUGCC